CCGACCCGUUAUAUCCGACGCUCCUGUGCAGAGGCGAGGAGGAAGAGAACAACCGCAGCGGAGGUAGGCCGAGCCGAAGAAGGUGGGCAUGGGCAUCUAACUAAAGGUAGGCCCAGGGAAGGCAAGGUGCUAAGUCCAGGGGGGGGAGCGGCAGCAGGUACCGCGACGUCAUGCACCUCCGCGUCGCCGUCCGCGCCGGCCUGGAGCGGCUGACCAUGCGGCUGGAGCGGCUGGAGAUGGUCGCGUUCGAGACCGUGGUCGAGUGGGAGUUCGAGCUGGUUAAGGAGGUCUAGGGCCGGCGUGUCUGACCGCUGUGCGAGUAUGUCGAGAUGUUGUUGAAGUAGAGGCUAAAGCUUUGUUUCUAGUUAAACGAGUUUGAACGGGUCAAACGGCAGUAUCGGAGCGCGGUUAUAGGGCUGUUCCUACGGCGGUAGCGGAAGGAGCUCCCCUAUUAGCGGUUCGAAGCGCUUUGGUCCCUCGACGCCUAGUUACUCGGAUAGGAAGUACAGUUCUACGUCUAACGCCGUUAAGUGGAGCUGUUUCCCUUGGUGUUCCUCACGUUCUUGGACGACCUCCUUCCCUUCUGGUGGGACCUACCGUACUGACUACACCUAGGAUGCCAGGUGCGAUCGAAGAUGACCUAUAGCAGAGUCAUGGUAUUCAGCGAGGUUCUCAAACGACUCAAGAUAUUCUUGCGCGAAGAGAUAGACCGGAUGUGUUGGCAUCCCAGAGAGAGUCCCAGUAAGUUCGACCUGAACCGUAAACUGGAAAGGGAACGUCGGAACGACCCCCUGUUGUAGAUGUUGAAGCCCCUUAACAAUCGAGUGGGAUAAUAGUUAUCAGAAUAACCCUGGUUCCACCUCACCCAGAUAGUGUACAAUGUUCGCAAGUUGUGGCCGUUGGAUCGAGAGAUGGUUCUCGAAACACCCCAAGUGUUACGACGAGAAUCACGUGUCGGACGUAACCACGUCUUACUUGUCUUUGACGAACUCUUCUAGUUAUAAGACACAGACUACCUCUAUUAGAAGUCGGCCGGUAGUCUUCUAUCUUGAUAGGGUAAUUCACAAUAACGGUUCGUCUGAUUCGAAAGUUGGUCGCUUCACCUUACAGAAGAAUACUUCUCGGAGAGCCAAGUAGAGUAUCUUCCUUAGUAGCUACUUCAGCUGUCGUGCCAAGUACAAAGCACCCAGGUCGGAUCUCAUGAACCGUAGGGUGUCCACUUCCGCAACGCACUCGCGGACCUGAGCACCCAGCCGUUUCACGUAUGGUGUGACAACAGGUAGCUCCGUCUCUGGGGGCUAGAGCACCGCCGAAUCGAACAACCGGUUUUUACUAAGACUUAUCCGAAACCAACAGUCGUUCCGCCGCCACAUUUUGCUCUCUGGUAGACCGACACGACGCGCACGAUCGACGAGAAAAGAACUAUUGCUUUUGAACAACGGAACCCACAGGAUAACCAGACCUGAACAUUGAAGGAAGAUAGUAGUGCCUAGCUUUGUCUCUUUAGUAUGGCCGUCUCCCACAGUGAUCAAAAAAGGACAACUUGAAAUAUUAGACAUUAGGUCGCCAAACUGUAAAAAAGAAGAAGGUAACACGAUACCUGUACCUGUGCGUCCUUUUAGAACGAGUAAAAGAAUACAAACACGGUCUGUUACUUCGGAAAACUUAA
Molecule: ribosomal RNA, 1669 nt
Filed under: Triticum aestivum (bread wheat)
Lineage: Eukaryota; Viridiplantae; Streptophyta; Magnoliopsida; Poales; Poaceae
Description: partial small subunit ribosomal RNA
Source: RNAcentral